UGGGGUGUAGCCAAGUGGUAAGGCAGUGGUUUUUGGUACCACCAUCCUAGGUUCGAAUCCUAGCACCCCAGCCA
RNAcentral lists this transfer RNA (74 nucleotides) under Candidatus Pelagibacter sp. Its description in RNAcentral is "tRNA-Gln". It matches the Rfam family "tRNA". Rfam says of the family: Transfer RNA (tRNA) molecules are approximately 80 nucleotides in length. The record is from RNAcentral. Lineage: Bacteria; Pseudomonadati; Pseudomonadota; Alphaproteobacteria; Candidatus Pelagibacterales; Candidatus Pelagibacteraceae.